This 444-nucleotide unclassified non-coding RNA is filed under the name Athalia rosae (coleseed sawfly). Its description in RNAcentral is "misc RNA ENSAEAG00005010109.1". The record is from RNAcentral. Lineage: Eukaryota; Metazoa; Arthropoda; Insecta; Hymenoptera; Athaliidae.
AAAUAAUUGACUCGUUAACGCGAAAUCUAUGCCGCAUCCGCCCUCGAUGCUUCACUAAUUACCUGGAUAGACUACGGAGACAACAGAUUAUAUUUAUGGAACUAAACGAAGAAAAAUAUUUCAUGUCUGUCCAGCUGAAACGGCAAUCGUUAUAACCGAAGCCAUUCAGUGAUAAUUGAAAAAAAUAAUGGUGACCGAACGUAAAAAUUCGAGUUGAAAUUAUCCCGAUCUGCAACGAAACGGUUAACAGGUGUUCAACGAUGUAAUGGAGUGAUUUACUCGUCACGUUAAAACAGUUUCAGCGAUAAUGCUGGAGAAAAAUUUCCCUCGUCACGAAAUUUUUUUAAGCGAGCGUGGGUGAAGCGGUGAACUUACGUGGGGCAAAACAGGAGAAAAAUUGAAGAACAAAAAUACAUACGUAGAAUUAGAGCUUUUGAAAAUGUG